Molecule: unclassified non-coding RNA, 333 nt
Filed under: Hevea brasiliensis (rubber tree)
Lineage: Eukaryota; Viridiplantae; Streptophyta; Magnoliopsida; Malpighiales; Euphorbiaceae
Source: RNAcentral
AUGAAACCUAAUAUCCUCACACAAGAAGAAUCUUUAUUUUACAAACUUAGAUGGAAACUGAAAAACACAGGAGCAUCCUCCACACAAGAAGAUGCUAAGCCUGAUCUAAAAGCAGUUAAACGAUAAUGACAACGACGAGGACAACAACGCAUAACACUGGUCAGUUCUACAUUCCAAAACGACCUUCUUUCCCUUUUCAUAAAUACAGAAGAGGGGGUGAAGAAGCCAAACUACCAAUCAGUAAAGGGACUGAAUGCUGAAACUUCCUUGGGGUAUAACAAUCUGAAUUUGAAGUAUGUCACUUCAAUGUUGAGAUCUUGUCACCUUGGUGGU